UUAUUAUUUUAUUUGAAAGGUUUACAGAGAGAAGAAGAGACACAGAGAAAGCUCUUCCAUCCGCUGGAUUACUCCCCAAAUGGCUACAAUGACCAGAGAUGAGCCAAUCCAAAACCACAAGCCAUGAGGAAUGGACCUGGACCGGAUGACUGAAGAUGUCAAUGGAAAGCAGGUUAAUGAAAUUCUGCCUCACCAAGCUGGAAGGUCCUGUGUGAAAGGAGAACGUAUAAUCCUUUUAAAUGGAGCUUUAAUAGGUACAAUUGCAGAAAAUAAUGAGGAGUGUGAGCCCCAGGGCUGGAUGGUAGCCGCCUCCAGAGUCUUGUUGCAAAUCGGGCAUUUCCUUAGACAGCACAGAAGCCAUGGCUCCUCUUGGGGCAAUGGUCUCUUGCACCUCAUUUGGAACAUUUAGAGCUCUGAGACCUUCCCUGUUCAAAAUUGUGGUCCCCAGGACCACAGUGUGAUUCCUAAGAUAUGGCUGAUCUUGUUAGCAUAAAUACACAUUGGAUAUCUGAGA
This is a long non-coding RNA of Ochotona princeps (American pika), 514 nucleotides long. RefSeq lists it as uncharacterized. NCBI's taxonomy places the organism in Eukaryota, Metazoa, Chordata, Mammalia, Lagomorpha, Ochotonidae. The record is from RefSeq and is a predicted model, not a curated record. The transcript has 3 exons.